This 497-nucleotide ribosomal RNA is filed under the name uncultured bacterium. RNAcentral's name for it is "partial 16S ribosomal RNA". It matches the Rfam family "Bacterial small subunit ribosomal RNA", at positions 28 to 507 of the family's 1533-position model. The record is from RNAcentral.
GAUGAACGCUGGCGGCGUGCCUAAUACAUGCAAGUCGAGCGAACAGACGAGGAGCUUGCUCCUCUGACGUUAGCGGCGGACGGGUGAGUAACACGUGGAUAACCUACCUAUAAGACUGGGAUAACUUCGGGAAACCGGAGCUAAUACCGGAUAAUAUAUUGAACCGCAUGGUUCAAUAGUGAAAGACGGUUUUGCUGUCACUUAUAGAUGGAUCCGCGCCGCAUUAGCUAGUUGGUAAGGUAACGGCUUACCAAGGCGACGAUGCGUAGCCGACCUGAUAGGGUGAUCGGCCACACUGGAACUGAGACACGGUCCAGACUCCUACGGGAGGCAGCAGUAGGGAAUCUUCCGCAAUGGGCGAAAGCCUGACGGAGCAACGCCGCGUGAGUGAUGAAGGUCUUCGGAUCGUAAAACUCUGUUAUUAGGGAAGAACAAAUGUGUAAGUAACUAUGCACGUCUUGACGGUACCUAAUCAGAAAGCCACGGCUAACUACGUG